GUCUCCUUUCUCAAAUCAAUGAAACUAAUCUCUCCGUGAAGAAACGGAGAUAAACUUAUAAGACGAGAAGACCCCAUGGAGCUUUAAACCCAGCUACACCCCCGCUAAAUUAUACUUUUUAAUCUUUAGGGCCCUGUAUUACUGGUUUUAGGUUGGGGUGACCACGGAGCACAAAAUAGCCUCCAUAAUGAAUAGACUUUAUCUUUAUCCAUGAACUACAUCUCUAAGAAUUAGAAUUCUAACAUAAAAUGAUCCGAUAUUCGAUCAACGAACCAAGUUACCCUGGGGAUAACAGCGCAAUCCACUUCAAGAGCCCCUAUCGACAAGUGGGUUUACGACCUCGAUGUUGGAUCA
This 354-nucleotide ribosomal RNA is filed under the name Guibemantis tornieri. RNAcentral's name for it is "partial 16S ribosomal RNA". It matches the Rfam family "Bacterial large subunit ribosomal RNA", at positions 2018 to 2539 of the family's 2925-position model. The record is from RNAcentral. Lineage: Eukaryota; Metazoa; Chordata; Amphibia; Anura; Mantellidae.